CUCUGGCUGAACUUCUUAUCAAGUGUCAAGAACAAUUUCAAGAUCAUCCACUUGAUGAGAAUUUCCAAUUAAAUGACAGACACUUUACUAAGACUUAGGCUUCCCCAAAGCAAGUUGUGUCAUGAGAAUGGCUUCCCCCUGGUAAAAGGAGAGAGGAUGGAUUGCAGGCUUAUUACUAAACAUUUCUUGCCCAGCACCUAACCCAGACUGAAACAGGAUUGGAAAAUUUCAGCGAGUGCUGUUUGCCUUCUUUCAAUGUCCUCGAGUUCUCCUCAGAAGCUUAAAGUGGAUUUUCAGACUUUUGGUAUCAGGAUUUCCAGAUUCUCUUUCUCUUCUAGUAAGGCAGGUAUUCUUAUUCGAGGCGAUAAUAAUGACAAGAGCUGCUCUUCAUGAAUCUACCCCUGUGUCGGGUUCUGCGGCAAAGCCCUUCACGAGAAGUGGUGAUACGGAGAGCUCAUUGGUAUGAAUGCAGGCUCGCUCAUACAAAAGUCAGAAAGGAACUCACAGGCGAAAAGGAGAGCAGAGGACUGGACUCAUGGCAGUUCUACUCAGAUAAAGGUUAUGUCGCAGAGAAGUUAAGCAACUUUUUAACUUCAAGAUCACACACUAGGAUUCGAACCCCAAGGACUAGUGCCAGAGUCCCUGCUCUAACCAUUACACAGCACUGCCUCCAGCAAUGAGACCCUCUUACCAGAAUGAAUGAAGGUAAUAAGGGACUUGUAUCUGAUUCAUAAGAAAGAUCAUUCACUCAGGAAGCCAGCUGCCACAUUGUAGAGAAAAUCAAAUAGGCAUAUGGAGAGUUCCAUGCAACAAGGUACUGAGGCCUCCUGCCAAUCAUCUUGGAUGCCCCAGCCAGUCCCGGUCAAGCCUUCAGACGACCAAAGUUCCAGCCAGCGUCUUUAAGAUAACUUCAUGAGAGAUGCUGAGCCAGAGCCACCCAGCUAAGCAGGUCCCAAAUUUCUAAAUCACAG
Molecule: long non-coding RNA, 971 nt
Organism: Zalophus californianus (California sea lion)
Lineage: Eukaryota; Metazoa; Chordata; Mammalia; Carnivora; Otariidae
Exons: 6
Source: RefSeq, a predicted model, not a curated record